RNAcentral lists this ribosomal RNA (278 nucleotides) under gamma proteobacterium IS2105. Its description in RNAcentral is "partial 16S ribosomal RNA". It matches the Rfam family "Bacterial small subunit ribosomal RNA", at positions 162 to 442 of the family's 1533-position model. Lineage: Bacteria; Pseudomonadati; Pseudomonadota; Gammaproteobacteria. The record is from RNAcentral.
GCUAAUACCGCAUACGCCCUACGGGGGAAAGGAGGGGACCUUCGGGCCUUCCGCGAUUGGAUGAACCUAGGUGGGAUUAGCUAGUUGGUGAGGUAAUGGCUCACCAAGGCGACGAUCCCUAGCUGUUCUGAGAGGAUGAUCAGCCACACUGGGACUGAGACACGGCCCAGACUCCUACGGGAGGCAGCAGUGGGGAAUAUUGCACAAUGGGGGAAACCCUGAUGCAGCCAUGCCGCGUGUGUGAAGAAGGCCUUCGGGUUGUAAAGCACUUUCAGUAG